CUCACUGCAGAAUCCCAAAGCGAUCAACGC
RNAcentral lists this non-coding RNA (30 nucleotides) under Homo sapiens (human). Lineage: Eukaryota; Metazoa; Chordata; Mammalia; Primates; Hominidae. The record is from RNAcentral.